UGGGGAAUAUUGGACAAUGGGGGCAACCCUGAUCCAGCCAUGCCGCGUGGGUGAAGAAGGCCUUAGGGUUGUAAAGCCCUUUCAGCGGGGAAGAUGAUGACGGUACCCGCAGAAGAAGCCCCGGCUAACUCCGUGCCAGCAGCCGCGGUAAUACGGAGGGGGCAAGCGUUGUUCGGAAUUACUGGGCGUAAAGGGCGCGUAGGCGGCCGGUCGCGUCGGGCGUGAAAGCCCCGGGCUCAACCUGGGAACAGCGCUUGAUACGGGCUGGCUGGAGAUCGGGAGAGGAGUGUGGAAUUCCGAGUGUAGAGGUGAAAUUCGUAGAUAUUCGGAGGAACACCAGUGGCGAAGGCGGCUCACUGGCUCGAUACUGACGCUGAGGUGCGAAAGCGUGGGGAGCAAACAGGAUUAGAUACCCGUGUAGUCC
Molecule: ribosomal RNA, 424 nt
Filed under: uncultured prokaryote
Description: partial 16S ribosomal RNA
Rfam family: Bacterial small subunit ribosomal RNA
Source: RNAcentral